RNAcentral lists this non-coding RNA (24 nucleotides) under Arabidopsis thaliana (thale cress). Lineage: Eukaryota; Viridiplantae; Streptophyta; Magnoliopsida; Brassicales; Brassicaceae. The record is from RNAcentral.
GAAGAUCUUGCUUGCAGAGUCCGC